GAUGAACGCUGGCGGCGUGCCUAAUACAUGCAAGUCGAGCGAACAGACGAGGAGCUUGCUCCUUCGACGUUAGCGGCGGACGGGUGAGUAACACGUAGGUAACCUACCUAUAAGACUGGGAUAACUUCGGGAAACCGGAGCUAAUACCGGAUAAUAUUUCGAACCGCAUGGUUCGAUAGUGAAAGAUGGCUUUGCUAUCACUUAUAGAUGGACCUGCGCCGUAUUAGCUAGUUGGUAAGGUAACGGCUUACCAAGGCAACGAUACGUAGCCGACCUGAGAGGGGGGUCGGCCACACGGGAACUGAGACACGGUCCAGACUCCUACGGGAGGCAGCAGUAGGGAAUCUUCCGCAAUGGGCGAAAGCCUGACGGAGCAACGCCGCGUGAGUGAUGAAGGUCUUCGGAUCGUAAAACUCUGUUAUUAGGGAAGAACAAACGUGUAAGUAACUGUGCACGUCUUGACGGUACCUAAUCAGAAAGCCACGGCUAACUACGUG
This 497-nucleotide ribosomal RNA is filed under the name uncultured bacterium. Its description in RNAcentral is "partial 16S ribosomal RNA". It matches the Rfam family "Bacterial small subunit ribosomal RNA", at positions 28 to 507 of the family's 1533-position model. The record is from RNAcentral.